UACGGGGGGGGCAAGCGUUGUUCGGAAUUACUGGGCGUAAAGGGCUCGUAGGCGGCCAACUAAGUCAGACGUGAAAUCCCCAGGCUCAACUCGGGAACUGCGUCCGAUACUGGCAGGCUUGAAUCCGGGAGAGGGAUGCGGAAUUCCAGGUGUAGCGGUGAAAUGCGUAGAUAUCUGGAGGAACACCGGUGGCGAAGGCGGCAUCCUGGACCGGCAUUGACGCUGAGGCGCGAAAGCCAGGGGAGCAAACGGG
This 253-nucleotide ribosomal RNA is filed under the name uncultured bacterium. RNAcentral's name for it is "partial 16S ribosomal RNA". It matches the Rfam family "Bacterial small subunit ribosomal RNA", at positions 524 to 776 of the family's 1533-position model. The record is from RNAcentral.